GAUGAACGCUGGCGGCGUGCCUAAUACAUGCAAGUCGAGCGAACAGAUGAGGAGCUUGCUCCUCUGACGUUAGCGGCGGACGGGUGGGUAACACGUGGAUAACCUACCUAUAAGACUGGGAUAACUUCGGGAAACCGGAGCUAAUACCGGAUAAUAUAUUGAACCGCAUGGUUCAAUAGUGAAAGACGGUUUUGCUGUCACUUAUAGAUGGAUCCGCGCCGCAUUAGCUAGUUGGUAAGGUAACGGCUUACCAAGGCAACGAUGCGUAGCCGACCUGAGAGGGUGAUCGGCCACACUGGAACUGAGACACGGUCCAGACUCCUACGGGAGGCAGCAGUAGGGAAUCUUCCGCAAUGGGCGAAAGCCUGACGGGGCAACGCCGCGUGAGUGAUGAAGGUCUUCGGAUCGUAAAACUCUGUUAUUAGGGAAGAACAAAUGUGUAAGUAACUAUGCACGUCUUGACGGUACCUAAUCAGAAAGCCACGGCUAACUACGUG
RNAcentral lists this ribosomal RNA (497 nucleotides) under uncultured bacterium. RNAcentral describes it as "partial 16S ribosomal RNA". It matches the Rfam family "Bacterial small subunit ribosomal RNA", at positions 28 to 507 of the family's 1533-position model. The record is from RNAcentral.